AUGCCUUCUUCAUCAACACCAUUGGUGUACCUUUGCCUACUGCUGGUACCAUGCCUUCUACUGUUGCAAGAAGCCCGUGCGGCGCACCAUGGAGGGAUCUCAUUGAGGUCUCAACAGAUGGCCCUCCUCCACUGGAAAUCUACGCUCGCAAGCCCACCGCUGCAGAUGAGCUCUUGGCAGGAAAACACCAGCCCAUGCAACUGGACAGGCAUCAUGUGCACGGCUGUUCGCCAUGGGCACCUGAGGCCCUGGGUGGUGACCAACAUCUCCAUGCCGGAUGCUGGCAUCCGUGGCCAGCUUGGUGAGCUCAACUUCUCGGCUCUUCCAUUCCUCACAUAUAUCGACCUUCAUAACAACAGUCUCCAUGGUGCACUGCCAGCUAGUAUCAGCUCUCUAUCCGCACUUUCGGUACUUUACCUUCACUACAACCAGUUUACGGGGAAAAUUCCUUAUGAGAUUGGUGACCUGCAGAGUCUCACCCAGCUUAGCCUCGCAUUUAGUAGACUCAGAGGACAUAUCCCUGCGUCUCUGGGCAACCUAACAAUGUUAACUAAUCUUCUCAUUCACCAAACAAUGUUAUCAGGUCCAAUUCCUGAGGAGAUUGGAAGGCUUGUCAACCUACAAACUCUACAACUAAGCAACAACACCUUAACCAACAUGAUACCAAAAACCCUUGGAAAUCUGAGCCAACUAGAUACUUUGCGCCUAUUUGGUAACCAAUUUUCAGGGCCUAUACCCCAGGAGCUUGGCAGGCUAGUCAAUUUGCAAAGUCUUCAGCUUGGUAUUAAUGAUUUUUCAGGUCCAAUUCCAAUCUCCAUAACCAAUCUCACAAAGCUGAACCAUCUUUUUCUAUUUGACAAUCAAAUCUCUGGUCCAAUACCCCCAGAAAUAGGCAAGCUCACUAUGUUAAACCAACUUGGUCUCUAUCUAAAUCAAAUAACAGGUUCGAUACCCCCAGAACUACGCAAGCUCGCUAUGCUAAACCUUCUUUAUCUCCAUGAAAAUCAAAUCACAGGUUGCAUUCCCCAAGAAAUUGGCAAUCUGAUGAAGCUUGAAAUUCUAGCCUUCUAUCAGAACCAAAUUUUAGGGUCAAUACCAAAAACUUUUGGGAAGCUGCAAAGCAUUCGAGUGUUCGUCACCUAUGGCCUUAAGAUCGAUAGAAAUGGUGAACAACCUUCAGGUCCCGGGAAUCUACUCAAGGCUGCAGACACUUCUUGUCUCACUUCUUUUAUCAUCGAUGGUGUAUUUGAGCUCGGGAGCAGAGACUCCACGUCCUGA
This 1278-nucleotide ribosomal RNA is filed under the name Triticum aestivum (bread wheat). RNAcentral describes it as "partial small subunit ribosomal RNA". The record is from RNAcentral. Lineage: Eukaryota; Viridiplantae; Streptophyta; Magnoliopsida; Poales; Poaceae.